This is a small nucleolar RNA of Oryzias javanicus (javanese ricefish), 133 nucleotides long. Ensembl annotates it as small nucleolar RNA, H/ACA box 77B. Its record names the gene SNORA77B. NCBI's taxonomy places the organism in Eukaryota, Metazoa, Chordata, Actinopteri, Beloniformes, Adrianichthyidae. The record is from Ensembl.
GCAGACACACUCUGUUCUUUGCUGCAAACUCCAGCUCGGGACUUUUUCUGUCUGCUACAUAAACAUGCAGAACGUAAAGACCGGACAGGCUUUUUUCUUAAGCAUGUUUAUUUAUAUGUUCUGCUAUAUUUCA